AUUGAACGCUGGCGGCAGGCCUAACACAUGCAAGUCGAACGGUAACAGGAAACAGCUUGCUGUUUCGCUGACGAGUGGCGGACGGGUGAGUAAUGUCUGGGAAACUGCCUGAUGGAGGGGGAUAACUACUGGAAACGGUAGCUAAUACCGCAUAACGUCGCAAGACCAAAGAGGGGGACCUUCGGGCCUCUUGCCAUCAGAUGUUCCCAGAUGGGAUUAGCUAGUAGGUGGGGUAACGGCUCACCUAGGCGACGAUCCCUAGCUGGUCUGAGAGGAUGACCAGCCACACUGGAACUGAGACACGGUCCAGACUCCUACGGGAGGCAGCAGUGGGGAAUAUUGCACAAUGGGCGCAAGCCUGAUGCAGCCAUGCCGCGUGUAUGAAGAAGGCCUUCGGGUUGUAAAGUACUUUCAGCGGGGAGGAAGGGAGUAAAGUUAAUACCUUUGCUCAUUGACGUUACCCGCAGAAGAAGCACCGGCUAACUCCGUG
This 490-nucleotide ribosomal RNA is filed under the name uncultured bacterium. RNAcentral describes it as "partial 16S ribosomal RNA". It matches the Rfam family "Bacterial small subunit ribosomal RNA", at positions 30 to 507 of the family's 1533-position model. The record is from RNAcentral.